GCGAGGAGCGGGGCGGAGCCAUUGUGAAGCCAGAGGCUGAGCUGACCAAGGGAGCUAGGGGUGCGGCUCGGUGCCCCUAGGAGGCCUGCGGACCUGCUACCUUCUCCGGCCUUCCUCCUGGCUGGGGCGAGGUCACUGAGUGGCUGCGGUGCUGCCGAGGCCCAGGUGCAGUGUUUUGCGGCGGCGACCCCCGGGCCGGGGGGCCGGGGAAUGGCGCUGACCCUGGAGACCUCGAUCCCCUGCGCUGCUCUUGCAGCUCAGGCUGCAGAAUUGUGUAACCCGUGACCUCCGGUUCCCCCUCCGCCGCGACUGUAAGGCCACCCCGGCCCUGCCACCCGCGCUGUGUGGUUCGCUGACUUGUGCGCCCACGGAUCUGCUUCGGAGUUCCGCCGCUGGAGAUGCCUCCUUCCUCCAGCGCAGCCAUGUUGGAUUCCCUGACUGUCACCUAGCAACCUCUGGCCAUGCCCCCUGACGUCCACCGAGCCCUGCCACCACCCCGUGAUUGUGAACCUCAGCCCCUGGCAGGCGCCAUGUUGGCAUCCCUGUCCGUCACCCAGCAACUGCUGGCACCACCCCUGACAUCACCACAGCGCCCGCCCUGCAUCCAGCCUCCUGUACUGUUGUCAUUUCCUGUCUUUAAUUUUUGUGAAUGAACGUGGGCUGGGAGUUUGAAUGUGCGCAUUGGUCAGAGGUCUGGCAGAGGCGAGAAGGAGUGACAGUCCCAUGGAAGAAAUCAAGACUGAAUUCCUUUUUAUUUGUGAUAACAUCCCAUUGUGAAGUUGUGAUCCAGAUUCUCUGAGCACCUAAAUAUUCACAUCGUCCAAAGCUGACUUCUAAAGUGGAGUUCAUUUCACCAUAAAUGAUAACAACCUUUGCUGAAGAUGCCAUAAUUUGCUUAUCAUAUAUCAAAGACUCUGUCAGUGGCUAUUCCUGGUUGUCAACUUGACUAUAUCUGGAAUGAACUACAGACUAGAAUUGGAAGGCUCACCUAUGAACCUAAUUUGGAGGCUCAGAGAUAUAAGUUUCUGACCUGGAUCUUGGCAUGGAGAACUUGAAGCAUAGCGGCUAAGACAAGGAGAUCUCCGAGUUCAAGAUCAUUUGGGAUUAAAGGUAUGGAUGCACAUGCCUUUAAUCUGGGCCACACCCUCUGCUGGAGAUCCACAAGCUAAUAAUCUGGGCCACACUCUCUGUUGGAGACCUACAGCCUUUAAUCUGGACUACACCCUCUG
Apodemus sylvaticus (European woodmouse) is the source of this 1229-nucleotide long non-coding RNA. RefSeq lists it as uncharacterized. The record is from RefSeq and is a predicted model, not a curated record. The transcript is spliced from 4 exons. Lineage: Eukaryota; Metazoa; Chordata; Mammalia; Rodentia; Muridae.